This 75-nucleotide transfer RNA is filed under the name Candidatus Roizmanbacteria bacterium. RNAcentral's name for it is "tRNA-Pro". It matches the Rfam family "tRNA". From Rfam's summary of the family: Transfer RNA (tRNA) molecules are approximately 80 nucleotides in length. Their secondary structure includes four short double-helical elements and three loops (D, anti-codon, and T loops). Lineage: Bacteria; Candidatus Roizmaniibacteriota. The record is from RNAcentral.
CGGGGAUUGGCGCAGUGGUAGCGCGCACGGUUCGGGACCGUGAGGUCGUGAGUUCAAAUCUCACAUCCCCGACCA